This is a long non-coding RNA of Rhipicephalus sanguineus (brown dog tick), 3528 nucleotides long. RefSeq lists it as uncharacterized. The record is from RefSeq and is a predicted model, not a curated record. The transcript is spliced from 3 exons. NCBI's taxonomy places the organism in Eukaryota, Metazoa, Arthropoda, Arachnida, Ixodida, Ixodidae.
AAACAACCCAAGCGGAUAUUGGGCGCCUUACAAGAUCCACACGGGUCCGAACGAAGAGGCCAGUGAAAAAUUCGGAAUGCCAGACAGACUUGGAGUUGCCCGAUAUUUGACUUAUGGAGGAGAUGCAGCAACGUUCUUCAAUGGCAUUGCAAUCAAUCGGCAUUCUCUGACAUACAAGAUGACCGCUCUUAUAAAUCAUACAAGCCUACGGUGAAAAGCACAGCAGCACUCACUGCGGCAAGCAUCGGCAUGGACAUCGGGAGAAAGCUGUGAAAGGUGCAAUGUUGGAGAUGUGUACAGCAAAUAUGAGGGUGAUGCCAGCGGAUCAAAAACAAAACAAUUUUGUACCUGUACUUGAUCGCAUCCAGGCAGGCAGACACGCGUGGUCAGAUUCGUCUGAUGACGACAGUGUCGACGACGUGCAUCACGUUGCCAGGAGACCCAGCUGCGCGUUUUAGUGUCACUGGUUCCGCGAGGAUGAGAUGAACGUGCGAAAUGUAGCAGAUGGCUUGCCAAUGUCACCGGUUUGGUACUGCGCAUCAUGUUGCUAUCAGGCAAUACUUAUUUGCUUCCUCAUUCAGAGGUUUUCUCCCUCUCGGUGGGGAUUUUCGAAAUCGUGAAAUGAGCCUUGUAAAUUGUGUCAUAUUAAAUAUAUGGAGACUAUCGUGCAGUUGCUGGUUAUUAUCAGGGUCCCCGAUAAAUGGCCUUCCACGUAAAAUAACAAAAUUCUUGCGGAAGGUUUUAAUAUCUACACUCUUUUAAUGUUAAGGUGACUUAAACAGUGAAUUCUACCCUUACUGGGCAGCGGUUAAGUUCAGCGCCCAUAAUUCAUAAAUUACACCGUCCUCUUAUAAUCAAUGUUUUAAACGACUUGCAACAAGUGAUUAGUCAAACCAGCAAGGGCUGCAGGUAAGUAGGUGUAAAAAUUGUCUUACAAAAAUAAAAUGCUGUUAUUGCUUACCAAUCUGCCAAGCAAACAAAAUUUUACGAUCAUUAUAGUGAGACUCUCAAACUUGUGCUGAGGCACGUUCACCGAGAACAAAUAGUCUUAAGGGAUUGCACUCAAGAGGAGAAAACUUCCAGAAAAAUAAAAGCUGGCUGAAGCUCAUAGUUCGUACUACAGUUGAUCCCCACAAUAACGAAAUUGGUAGGGAAACUGAAAAUUUUCGCUAUCGUGAAAUAAUCCAGUUCAGAUGGGAAAAUGAUCAGCAAAAUGAAAACUUAUUGCCAAAACUCUGUUAACUUGGCUUGUCGACUGUUUCCAUAUAGUCAACAUACAGAUAUUCCUUCGCAAUGCAGCAUGUUGUGUUAUCCAACAUCCUCACCGUGUGUGCCGAGGAAUGCCCACAUCUUUUCGAAAGCGUCUAAGCCACGUGUUGAUGUAGCAAUGGCAAUCGCUCUUCCGUUGCUGCGCGGCUGCCGCAGAACACCGAGUGUGAUGCAAAGACAUUUGAGCGCAUUUUGGAGUAUGCCAACCGUGCCCGACCAGAAAACAUGAGGGGAGACAUCCUGUUGAUUUUUGUUAUUGUGGGAUUAGAGUUUAGCAACACUUCGUUGUCGAGAAAUACGAGAUGCAUUGAAUCCUAUGGGUGUUCAUCGGGGACUGGAAAUUAUUUCUUUGCUGCGUGAUUUCGUGAUUGUGAGUUUCGACAGCAUACUGAUGCCGUAAAUGAAGCUAUCAUUUCCUUAAAAAAAGUUACACCAUCUCCCACUAAAGGGAACCAUGAGGGGAUGCGAAGCAGCAUUGGGGGUGCACACCAAGUUUCUGUUACGUUCACUCGGCGUUUCCGUUAGUAUGUGAGGUUUGUAUUUAGUGUUUGUGUUAUCAUUACGUUGUGUUUGUACGUUGCUUUCCAUUAGCGCCGAGUGAACGUGUGGCGCCGACGUUGACGUUACACCUCAUCUGAAUGGGAGCGAAGCGAGAAUGACAGAAGCCGACCGAGCACACGCACUUGUAUACACAUGAAAUGGGGGAGGGAGAGGAGAGAGUGGGGUUACAGGCUGUAUUUAGCUGCGGCGCGGCUGCAUCACGUCGGAGGAGAGGCUGCGCCACGGCUGCAGCGCGGGGGAGGAGAGGAGAGAAGGCGACCGAACACCUGCGUAAAGGAGGAGUGAGAGAGAGAGAGUAGGCGCAUGCGCAGUGGAGCACGGACGCCACCGGAUCAAGCUCGCUCAUAAGAUGCUUCGCAUCUAAACGAAAGUUCGGCAGCAUGUGACACACUCUCCGUAACACUUGAAGGCAAAAAGCUGCUUCACACUUGGUUAUACAAUCAGAGAUCAAACCUCUUGCAAGGCAUAAUGAGCAGCAGUGUGAGAGACAUGCAAAGCAAGCAAGCCCGUACAGUGAGUAGUGCUGAAGCUUGAAAGUGUUUGACAGCCUUAUUAUUUUACUCUUCUGACAUGACAUCUGGACAUUCAAUAUUCUUUUGAGUAAAAGUAGUGGUUCAAUAAGUUUUGAAGUUGGUAAUACAGGAUAUGUUGCAACACCAAUGCCAAUAAUCAUGCAUCAUUCACAGGCUCCAGUUUUUAGCUGAGCAGUCAUUGUGCAAGAAAUGUUAUGUCAAAGCUUGACAUUAUGAAUAUGGAUAUAACGAAAUUGUCGGUUAUAACGGAGUCAUGUGGUGAGGUACUCAAUUCCCAACAUGUGGAGCAGAGUAGAUGGCCACACAACAUCUGCCUUUUCGGUGUAGUUCGGAUAAUGGAAAUUCCAGCGCUCAAAUGAGGGACUAGGAAAGAGGCGGGGUGCACACGGCACAUGAUUUAGUAUGUCUCUGCUAUCUCGCAUACCACCCAGCCCUUGCAAUUCAAAAGCAUCUUGCUGUUUAAUAACUCCACUGAACAACCGCAAUCUUACAAUCGUAAAGACUAGUUGGAUAAUGGCUGGCCCUUCAAGGAAGCUCAAUGUUCUCUCUGACACAUCCACCCAUCAUUCCGCAACCAAUGCAUUUAUUUCCAUUACAUGAAUUUACGCAGAUUACAUAUCCAGUGGACACUUUUAACCAUGCAUACGUACGCUCAGAAGUCCACCCAGUGUACGCAGAGAACUAUGCCUCUGAGUGUUGUGGCUGGGCAUUAGUUUUAGAUGGGCACUUCGGCAUGUGCCUGGCUAAUUCGCUCUUGCGCCAGAACUUCUUCAUGCAGAGGUCGCAGCCGAAGCGCCGCUCGGCUGUGUGUACCACUAGGUGAUCUUGGAGGUGGCACUUCACCUCCAAGGCCCUGGGGCACUGGAAAUGCCGGCCUUUCUCGUGUGUCAACCAAUGCCUCAUCAGCUCUACCUCGAAGACAAAAGCGGCGUUGCACUUGUCACACUUAAAGUGUGCACUCUUUUCGUGGGUGCACAGGUGCCUUGACAGCUGCGUACACAAGAGAAACCUGCAAAUCGACACAAGGUAUGCCGAGCAAUUAAAACCUGCGGUGAAGACGAGAGUGUAAAAUUCAAGGAACUUCCUGGAAAAAAAAAAGAAAUUCAAAGCCCUUCCGUUACUGUGAAGUGGGCCUAGUGUAUAUAUAUAUUACCAUUAUUGACUG